Molecule: ribosomal RNA, 265 nt
Filed under: Salmonella enterica subsp. enterica serovar Cerro
Lineage: Bacteria; Pseudomonadati; Pseudomonadota; Gammaproteobacteria; Enterobacterales; Enterobacteriaceae
Description: partial 23S ribosomal RNA
Rfam family: Bacterial large subunit ribosomal RNA
Source: RNAcentral
CGUAAUAGCUCACUGGUCGAGUCGGCCUGCGCGGAAGAUGUAACGGGGCUAAACCAUGCACCGAAGCUGCGGCAGCGACACUAUGUGUUGUUGGGUAGGGGAGCGUUCUGUAAGCCUGUGAAGGUGUGCUGUGAGGCAUGCUGGAGGUAUCAGAAGUGCGAAUGCUGACAUAAGUAACGAUAAAGCGGGUGAAAAGCCCGCUCGCCGGAAGACCAAGGGUUCCUGUCCAACGUUAAUCGGGGCAGGGUGAGUCGACCCCUAAGGC